CCUGAAUUUGCCUCGCACAAGGCUUCCUACUCUUCCAGUUCGAGUCCUAACUCCUGUGGCACAGUGUCCUUGCCCCCAUCUAAGAGGUCCCAGCUGGCCUGCAGGCACAGGUUCACAUCCCCUGAGGAGUCAGGGUAGCUGUGGACGCCAGCGGCCACUGGCCCCACCCCGCCUGUGAGGAACCCAGGCUCUUCCUGGCUCAGCAAUGGUCCUCUCACCACCACAGGCUCCUACACCGGGCAGCAGGGUCUGGGUGAGGAAGGCCUGCGGGUGCUGUCCUGUUCCUCCCACUGCUCUCUGUCCCUCUUCCCCAGGAUGCUGUGAGACCUUGGGACUCAACCUUCUAUCCCUGCCGCAGAGGGGACCGUGCUGUACUUCCCUCACCUUGGCCACAUUUGUCUGCUCUCUGGGGUCAUCAAAGUGGCUUCAGUCCUGUUCCACUUACCAUGUGUCAGUCCCAGCUCCUCCUCUGGCACUGUCCCUUCUGUCCCCCAGUCCAGCCAUGGCCGGAGGGACAGGAGGACAACGGGAAGUCGGAUCAGCUCUCCAGUCCUCCCAGACCAGCUUCUCCACACAUGCACGUGUGCACACACACAUGGACUUCUUGUCUGGGACACAGGAACAGCAAAGUCCUCAGCCAGGGACCUGGUGAACAGGCCUGAGACACGUCCAGCGCCCGGGGGGGCAGGCCCUCGGCAUCCCCUGCUCUCAGCACAGCACACAGCUCCCCCUGCCCAGUGGAGGUCCACAGUGCAGGUCCCACGGAGCAGCCCAGGGUGGUGUUUCUUCUUUUUCUAGUAUUUACUUCAUAAAACAGCAUCUUCAGUGCAGAAUGAUCACACGAAUCUUGGGAAUCGGUGUUUGGACCGACAUGGCUUUCCUCUUCUUGACCCCACCUUCUCCCCGCCCGCUCCCCC
This 917-nucleotide long non-coding RNA is filed under the name Fukomys damarensis (Damara mole-rat). Its description in RNAcentral is "lncRNA (ENSFDAG00000022005.1)". The record is from RNAcentral. Lineage: Eukaryota; Metazoa; Chordata; Mammalia; Rodentia; Bathyergidae.